GACGAACGCUGGCGGCGUGCUUAACACAUGCAAGUCGAGCGGAGCGGCGAACGGGUGAGUAACGCGGGAGUAACUGCCCCCCUCUCUGGGAUAACAGUUGGAAACGGCUGCUAAUACCGGAUAGUGGGGGAUGACUCGCGUCCUAGCAGCUUGUUGGUGGGGUAGUGGCCUACCAAGGGGACGACGGGUAGCGGGCCUGAGAGGGGGACCGGCCACGUGGGCCUGUGAUACGGCCCAAACUCGUACGGGAGGCAGCAGUGGGGAAUAUUGCACAAUGGUGGAAACCCUGAUGCAGCAACGCGCGUGCGGGAUGACGACCUUCGGGUUGUAAACCGCUUUCUGCCAUGACGCGGUAGUGGCAGAAGAAGCACCGGCUAACUACGUGCCAGCAGCCGCGGUAAUUC
Molecule: ribosomal RNA, 404 nt
Filed under: uncultured bacterium
Lineage: Bacteria
Description: partial 16S ribosomal RNA
Rfam family: Bacterial small subunit ribosomal RNA
Source: RNAcentral